GAUGAACGCUGGCGGCGUGCCUAAUACAUGCAAGUCGAGCGAACGGACGAGAAGCUUGCUUUUCUGAUGUUAGCGGCGGACGGGUGAGUAACACGUGGAUAACCUACCUAUAAGACUGGGAUAACUUCGGGAAACCGGAGCUAAUACCGGAUAAUAUUUUGAACCGCAUGGUUCAAAAGUGAAAGACGGUCUUGCUGUCACUUAUAGAUGGAUCCGCGCUGCAUUAGCUAGUUGGUAAGGUAACGGCUUACCAAGGCAACGAUGCAUAGCCGACCUGAGAGGGUGAUCGGCCACACUGGAACUGAGACACGGUCCAGACUCCUACGGGAGGCAGCAGUAGGGAAUCUUCCGCAAUGGGCGAAAGCCUGACGGAGCAGCGCCGCGUGAGCGAUGAAGGUCUUCGGAUCGUAAAACUCUGUUAUUAGGGAAGAACAUAUGUGUAAGUAACUGUGCACAUCUUGACGGUACCUAAUCAGAAAGCCACGGCUAACUACGUG
RNAcentral lists this ribosomal RNA (497 nucleotides) under uncultured bacterium. Its description in RNAcentral is "partial 16S ribosomal RNA". It matches the Rfam family "Bacterial small subunit ribosomal RNA", at positions 28 to 507 of the family's 1533-position model. The record is from RNAcentral.